This is a long non-coding RNA of Vespa mandarinia (Asian giant hornet), 557 nucleotides long. The record is from RefSeq and is a predicted model, not a curated record. Lineage: Eukaryota; Metazoa; Arthropoda; Insecta; Hymenoptera; Vespidae.
UAAAACAUUUGAGGUUAUUCCUGAAGAAAAAUAAAGACAGUUGUAUUGCGUACUUCGUAUGGUAAACAACAUCUACGAUACAACCUUCUGAUUGCUGAAGAAAUUUUCUUAGGUAUUUAAUUAAAUCUCAAGGAAUGAUAACUAUUUUCGAAGGCAUCAUCAAAAGUGACAGGUAAACAAAGAUCAUGGGAGGUUAGACGCGCUUACGUACCUUUGCGCUUCAGCUACAUUUUUAAAGAGAUCGUAAAAGCAUUUCGUGUAAUGAUCAGGCUCGGGUAACAAUCUCUCGUGUUCGCCGGACACCAUGAUUUCCACGGAAUACUUAAGUGUUACUUAACGACCGAUCGCAGGAUAGACAUCGACUACUCGAGUCCUGCUAUACUUAUAUUACUGUUGAGACCAUCAAGAACAUAACCUUACUAAAACGGUUCUGCAAAUUAUUUUUUCAAUUUCAAUGGGGCUUCUUAAAGACAAAAAUUUCACAUGGUUAAUUCAUGAAAGUUGGUAAACAUAAUUAAACAUGACUGUGGUUAAAAAUAAUACAACCAAACAAUGAG